Fukomys damarensis (Damara mole-rat) is the source of this 499-nucleotide long non-coding RNA. RefSeq lists it as uncharacterized. The record is from RefSeq and is a predicted model, not a curated record. The transcript has 4 exons. NCBI's taxonomy places the organism in Eukaryota, Metazoa, Chordata, Mammalia, Rodentia, Bathyergidae.
GACAUGAUGUGAUGUUUUUCCAAACCUGUCUCUCACAAGGAUAUUACUUUAGGAUAAUCACUCCUCCUAAAAUCACUCCGGAAAGAGGACUUCUAGAGCUGCUUCCGAAAGUGGCAAGAACGGUGGGACCUACACUGAGAAUCCUGGAGAACUGUCAGUAUGGCUUGACAUCAGUGAACUGUGCACUUGAUUCUCGGAGGAAAUGGUAAGAAUGGAGGGAUUUCCAGAAUGCACAAAGAUUAUUUAUACCAUUGAAAGACACAUUGAGGAAUAAGGCACUUAAGUGUCCCACGGACAAGGGCUGUAACUGGCUAUUGAUUGGAUGAGCUGGAGAUGGGUAGUGCCUCUGGGACCUGAGAAGGACUGAAAGGAAAUUCACCCCCUCCGCAUGGUAACACCUUCAGGUUCUGCGAGUCAUUCACGUCACAAAAGAGAGUAAAACAAAACUCAGCAAUGAAGUACUCUGAAGAGAAAUAAAUCUGUUCUCCAAAGAAAGAAG